AAUCUUCCAGAAAUUCAUGAAGAGACUUCAGGUCAGGAAAGCCUGAACUUUCUCAUCUAACACCUGUUCAAGUCGGAGGAUGCUGAUUAAUUCAUGAUGGAAAGGUAUCAAUUUCACAGCCCAGACUUCUACAUUCUUGAAAUGCUGUUCUCAUGGGAGACAUUAAAUAAGCUUUGAAAUAACUGGACUUAUCUUCCUCAGUUCCCUGUGGGGAACUUUUGUAGAGCCACACGAAAGGAGGUUUUUAGCUCUCACCUAUGGUCUUCAUCAUGCACCUCCUAGAUUCAAAAGUUCAGCAGGGGCAUGUCAAGCUAUAUAAAUAAAAACAAACUAAGACAAAAAUGUAACAUUCCAUACCUUAAAAUGCAACCUUAAUAACGUGAAAGACCCUGAAGGACUUGAGAUGUGAAGAUUUUCUACCACGGUCUUUGCAUGUAUUAUUUCUGACAGCUGUUCCUUUCUAUUCCCUCUUGCACACAUCUUUAGUUACUCCCUGUUCUCCAUCCCUCUGAUAAAAUCUAGUUCCCCCCUCAAAUUAGAAAAUUAAAAAAAAUAAAAAAUCUAAAAUUAAAAUUUAAAAAAUUUUUAAAAAUCUAGAGUUUACAAAAAAAUUUUCUAUCUCAGGCUUGUGAACCAUAUUGUUAGUUCACAAUUAAUAGUGAUGUACAUCUAUUGGACGAGUUUUAAUUAAUUCUUUCCCUUGGCUGAUUAGUAAGAUUCUGCAGUGAGUACAAAUGUU
This 739-nucleotide non-coding RNA is filed under the name Pongo abelii (Sumatran orangutan). The record is from RNAcentral. Lineage: Eukaryota; Metazoa; Chordata; Mammalia; Primates; Hominidae.